RNAcentral lists this ribosomal RNA (2439 nucleotides) under compost metagenome. RNAcentral describes it as "bacterial LSU rRNA". It matches the Rfam family "Bacterial large subunit ribosomal RNA", at positions 14 to 2479 of the family's 2925-position model. The record is from RNAcentral.
AGGGCGUACGGUGGAUGCCUAGGCACUAAGAGGCGAAGAAGGACGUGGUAAGCUGCGAUAAGCUUCGGGGAGCUGCAUACGAGCGAUAAUCCGAAGAUUUCCGAAUGGGACAACCCGAUAUGUUGAAGGCAUAUCAUUCUGUAGAGAUACAGGAGGCUAACCCGGGGAACUGAAACAUCUAAGUACCCGGAGGAAAAGAAAAUAAAAAUGAUUCCCCGAGUAGUGGCGAGCGAAAAGGGAAGAGCCCAAACCAUAAGAGCGUGCUUUUAUGGGGUUGUAGGACUACGAUAUUGUACAGUAUUAACGAAGCUGAAUUAUUUGGAAAGGUAAGCCAUAGGAGGUGAAAGCCCUGUAGGCGUAAGUUGUACUGACAUAGUAGUAUCCUGAGUAGGGCGGGACCAGAGGAAUCCUGUCUGAAUCAGCCGGUACCAUCCGGUAAGGCUAAAUACUCCUUAGUGACCGAUAGUGAACCAGUACCGUAAGGGAAAGGUGAAAAGUACUGCGAGUAGCAGAGUGAAAUAGUACCUGAAACCGUACGCUUACAAGCGGUCGGAGCCCUUCGGGGUGACGGCGUGCCUUUUGCAUAAUGAUCCUACGAGUUGCUACUUACUGGCGAGGUUAAUUCCGUAACGGGAGGAGCCGUAGCGAAAGCGAGUCCGAAUAGGGCGCUGAGUCAGUAGGUGCAGACGCGAAACUUUGUGAUCUAUCCAUGGGCAGGUUGAAGGUUAGGUAAAACUAACUGGAGGACCGAACUCAUUAACGUUGAAAAGUUAUGGGAUGACCUGUGGAUAGGGGUGAAAGGCCAAUCAAACUGAGAGAUAGCUCGUUCUCCCCGAAAUGUUUUUAGGAACAGCGUCACAUAUAGAAGUAUGAUAGAGGUAGAGCUACUGAUUGGGCUAGGGGGCUUCACCGCCUACCAAACCCUGACAAACUCCGAAUGCUGAUAAAUAUCUGCGGCAGUGAGGCUGUGGGCGCUAAGGUCCAUGGCCGAGAGGGAAAUAACCCAGACUAUCAUCUAAGGUCCCUAAAUCUAUGUUAAGUUGAACAAACGCAGUUUGAUCCCUAAGACAGCCAGGAUGUUGGCUUGGAAGCAGCCAUUCAUUUAAAGAGUGCGUAACAGCUCACUGGUCGAGGGGUCGGGCACGGAAAAUGAUCGGGCAUCAAACAUAGUACCGAAGAUAUAGAUCACGCGCAAGCGUGGUGGUAGGGGAGCAUUCCAAACAGCGAUGAAGGUGUAUCGUGAGAUAUGCUGGAGCGUUUGGAAAAGAAAAUGUAGGAAUGAGUAACGAUAAUUCCGAUGAGAAAUCGGAACGCCGAAAGACUAAGGGUUCCUGAUCAACGUUAAUCGGAUCAGGGUUAGUCGGGUCCUUAGGCGUACCCGAAAGGGGAAGCUGAUGGGAAACUGGUUAAUAUUCCAGUACUUUCUUUAAUUUCGAUGGGGUAACAGAGGAGUGAAAGGUCCGCGUACUUACGGAAUAGUACGUUAAAGGGUGUAGUUAUAGGGUGUGUAGGUAAAUCCGCAUACUUUGACGAACCUGAUAGUACCAGAAGGCUUCGGCUGGAUGGAUAGUGACCCUAAUCAUACUCGCGAGAAAAACCUCUAAGGUUAGGUUAAAGAGACCCGUACCGUAAACCGACACAGGUAGUCGGGAAGAAUAUUCUCAGGCGCUCGGGUGAGCCGUGGAGAAGGAACUAGGCAAAUUGUGGCUGUAACUUCGGGAUAAAGCCAUCCAUAGCGAUAUGGACUCAGUGAAAUGGUUCAACCAACUGUUUAGCAAAAACAUAGGGCCCUGCCAAAUCGAAAGAUGACGUAUAGAGCCUGAUACCUGCCCGGUGCUGGAAGGUUAAGGGAGCUUGUUCGGAGCAAUCCAAAGCUUGUGACCGAAGCCCCAGUAAACGGCGGCCGUAACUAUAACGGUCCUAAGGUAGCGAAAUUCCUUGUCGGGUAAGUUCCGACCUGCACGAAUGGUCUAAUGAGUUGAACACUGUCUCCUCCACGAGCCCGGUGAAAUUGUAGUAUCGGUGAAGAUGCCGGUUACCCGCCACGGGACGGAAAGACCCCGUGAACCUUCACUACAACUUUGCAUUGAUUUUGAAUACCAGAUGUGUAGCAUAGUUGGGAGACUUUGAAGCAGGUACGCCAGUAUUUGUGGAGUCACCGUUGAAAUACCAACCUUCUGUUAUUUAGAGUCUAAUCCCUGUAAGGGGAGACAUUGCAUGGUGGGUAGUUUGACUGGGGUGGUCGCCUCCUAAAGCGUAACGGAGGCUUGCAAAGGUACCCUCAGCAUGGUUAGUAAUCAUGCGUAGAGCGCAUUAGUAAAAGGGUGCUUGACUGUGAGGCAGACAAGCCGAACAGGGACGAAAGUCGGCUAAAGUGAUCCGGCGGUUCUGUAUGGAAGGGCCGUCGCUCAAAGGAUAAAAGGUACUCCGGGGAUAACA